This 529-nucleotide ribosomal RNA is filed under the name Salmonella enterica. RNAcentral describes it as "partial 23S ribosomal RNA". It matches the Rfam family "Bacterial large subunit ribosomal RNA", at positions 1 to 560 of the family's 2925-position model. Lineage: Bacteria; Pseudomonadati; Pseudomonadota; Gammaproteobacteria; Enterobacterales; Enterobacteriaceae. The record is from RNAcentral.
GGGUUGUGAGGUUAAGCGACCAAGCGUACACGGUGGAUGCCCUGGCAGUCAGAGGCGAUGAAGGACGUGCUAAUCUGCGAAAAGCGCCGGUAAGGUGAUAUGAACCGUUAUAACCGGCGAUGUCCGAAUGGGGAAACCCAGUGUGACUCGUCACACUAUCAUUAACUGAAUCCAUAGGUUAAUGAGGCGAACCGGGGGAACUGAAACAUCUAAGUACCCCGAGGAAAAGAAAUCAACCGAGAUUCCCCCAGUAGCGGCGAGCGAACGGGGAGGAGCCCAGAGCCUGAAUCAGCAUGUGUGUUAGUGGAAGCGUCUGGAAAGGCGCGCGAUACAGGGUGAGAGCCCCGUACACAAAAGCGCACAUGUUGUGAGCUCGAUGAGUAGGGCGGGACACGUGGUAUCCUGUCUGAAUAUGGGGGGACCAUCCUCCAAGGCUAAAUACUCCUGACUGACCGAUAGUGAACCAGUACCGUGAGGGAAAGGCGAAAAGAACCCCGGCGAGGGGAGUGAAACAGAACCUGAAACCGUG